RNAcentral lists this long non-coding RNA (1030 nucleotides) under Zalophus californianus (California sea lion). RNAcentral describes it as "lncRNA (ENSZCAG00015018820.1)". Lineage: Eukaryota; Metazoa; Chordata; Mammalia; Carnivora; Otariidae. The record is from RNAcentral.
UCCCCAGAGCCGACUAGCAGUCCCCGGGGCCAAUGGCCAGCGGAUAAACAGAGGCGGCGGUGGAAGAGGACUGGGCGCGAGGCUCCGCCCCUCGAUGGGACAGUCUGGAGAGGCAGCCAGUGAACCCUCAUCAGCGGGUGGGCGUUUCCCUCAGGGGCGGAGCUUCGAGGGAGCGAGAGGCGUGGCUUGGCUGUCAGGUCCCUUCGCCUUUUGUUCGGUUACUGAGUUGCUGCUUUGGCCAGAGUCCGGAGCAGCCGCCGCCCGAGCGCGCCCAGCUCAGUUCGCUGCCCGCGCCGGCUCCCAGCCCGGCCCGACCCCUACACCCAGCCCGGCCAGGCUCCACAAGCAGGAGGAGCUCACCCCGGAAUCCUUUCCUCGAGAAGCGUUCUGGUGUGUGUCCUCUUUGAACUGUGUGCCGUCCCUGCCCUGGCCCACCCUCCGCCUUCUCUUGUCUGUCUUGGGAAGCCUGAGUCUUAGAUACCAACGUUCCUCUGAGAUCAGCUGGGCCACUCUUUCUGUGGAUGAAGCACAGAGGGCAAGUAAUCGUCUAAGGACACCAGUAAGCUUGUGGCAGAGCUGGGACCAGGACCAGGGCCUGGGACGCCUGAUUUCGUAGCCGGUGCUCUGCCUCCAGCUGUGAGUCCCCUUGGCCUCCCCAGCCUCUCCGCCUGCUCGCAAGGGGCUCCGCUCUACCCACGCCCCAGCCACCCGCUCGCCUUGACCGCAGGGCGUCCCCUGUUAGGAGCCAAGGGAGCAGCCCUUUUUAGCGGGCUGGACGCCGGUGUGCAGCGAGGCCGACCCUAUCUGAGCAGAGCGCUGCCCUGUUCUCAGGGUGGUGUCUCAAGUCUUCUCAACUGGAAAUUGGGCCGGAUAAAUGCCCGCCAGGGUGGCUUUGAGGGAAGCGUGAGAUUCAUUUGACAGUAAAAGCAGCUGAGUGUCCCUUCCCCCAUGGAUCCUUUGACCUCCCUGUGGCUUCUGUCUUGCCCUGGGCAGCCGCCAGCCCUCAGCUUCUCUUGGCUCCAGGCCUGGG